RNAcentral lists this ribosomal RNA (588 nucleotides) under uncultured bacterium. Its description in RNAcentral is "partial 16S ribosomal RNA". It matches the Rfam family "Bacterial small subunit ribosomal RNA", at positions 355 to 1375 of the family's 1533-position model. The record is from RNAcentral.
UGGGGAAUUUUGGACAAUGGGCGAAAGCCUGAUCCAGCAAUGCCGCGUGUGUGAAGAAGGCCUUCGGGUUGUAAAGCACUUUUGUCCGGAAAGAAAUCCUUGGCUCUAAUACAGUCGGGGGAUGACGGUACCGGAAGAAUAAGCACCGGCUAACUACGUGCCAGCAGCCGCGGUAAUACGUAGGGUGCAAGCGUUAAUCGGAAUUACUGGGCGUAAAGCGUGCGCAGGCGGUUUGCUAAGACCGAUGUGAAAUCCCCGGGCUCAACCUGGGAACUGCAUUGGUGACUGGCAGGCUAGAGUAUGGCAGAGGGGGGUAGAAUUCCACGUGUAGCAGUGAAAUGCGUAGAGAUGUGGAGGAAUACCGAUGGCGAAGGCAGCCCCCUGGGCCAAAUACUGACGCUCAUGCACGAAAGCGUGGGGGAGCAAAACAGGAUUAGAUACCCUGGUAGUCCACGCCCUAAACGAUGUCAACUAGUUGUUGGGGAUUCAUUUCCUUAGUAACGUAGCUAACGCGUGAAGUUGACCGCCUGGGGAGUACGGUCGCAAGAUUAAAACUUAAAGGAAUUGACGGGGUCAUAGCUGUUUCCU